RNAcentral lists this ribosomal RNA (505 nucleotides) under uncultured bacterium. RNAcentral's name for it is "partial 16S ribosomal RNA". It matches the Rfam family "Bacterial small subunit ribosomal RNA", at positions 28 to 507 of the family's 1533-position model. The record is from RNAcentral.
GACGAACGCUGGCGGCGUGCCUAAUACAUGCCAGUAGAACGCACAGUUUAUACCGUAGCUUGCUACACCAUAGACUGUGAGUUGCGAACGGGUGAGUAACGCGUAGGUAACCUGCCUGGUAGCGGGGGAUAACUAUUGGAAACGAUAGCUAAUACCGCAUAAUAUUGAUUAUUGCAUGAUAAUUGAUUGAAAGAUGCUAUUGCAUCACUACCAGAUGGACCUGCGUUGUAUUAGCUAGUAGGUGAGGUAACGGCUCACCUAGGCGACGAUACAUAGCCGACCUGAGAGGGUGAUCGGCCACACUGGGACUGAGACACGGCCCAGACUCCUACGGGAGGCAGCAGUAGGGAAUCUUCGGCAAUGGACGAAAGUCUGACCGAGCAACGCCGCGUGAGUGAAGAAGGUUUUCGGAUCGUAAAGCUCUGUUGUAAGAGAAGAACGGGUGUGAGAGUGGAAAGUUCACACUGUGACGGUAUCUUACCAGAAUGGGACGGCUAACUACGUG